AUACGGAGGGUGCAAGCGUUACUCGGAAUUACUGGGCGUAAAGGACGCGUAGGCGGUUUUUAAAGUCAGAUGUGAAAGCCUAUGGCUUAACCAUAGAACUGCAUUUGAAACUUCUAAACUAGAGUGAGGGAGAGGUCAGUGGAAUUAGUGGUGUAGGGGUAAAAUCCGUAGAGAUCACUAGGAAUACUCAUAGCGAAGGCGACUGACUGGAACUUUACUGACGCUGAGGCGUGAAAGCGUGGGGAGCAAACAGGAUUAGAUACCCCGGUAGUCC
This 274-nucleotide ribosomal RNA is filed under the name uncultured bacterium. RNAcentral describes it as "partial 16S ribosomal RNA". It matches the Rfam family "Bacterial small subunit ribosomal RNA", at positions 523 to 796 of the family's 1533-position model. The record is from RNAcentral.